RNAcentral lists this ribosomal RNA (460 nucleotides) under uncultured bacterium. RNAcentral describes it as "partial 16S ribosomal RNA". It matches the Rfam family "Bacterial small subunit ribosomal RNA", at positions 338 to 795 of the family's 1533-position model. The record is from RNAcentral.
CCUACGGGUGGCAGCAGUGAGGAAUAUUGGUCAAUGGGCGCGAGCCUGAACCAGCCAAGUAGCGUGAAGGAUGACUGCCCUACGGUUUGUAAACUUCUUUUAUAAAGGAAUAAAGUAGGGCACGUCUGCCUUUUUGUCUGUACUUUAUGAAUAAGGAUCGGCUAACUCCGUGCCAGCAGCCGCGGUAAUACGGAGGAUCCGAGCGUGUUCCGGAUUUAUUGCGUUUAAGGGGAGCGUAGAUGGGUUGUUAAGUAAGUUGUGAAAGUUGGCGGCUAAACCGUAAAAUUGCAAUUGAUACUGGCAGUCUUGAGUACAGUUGAGGUAGGCGGAAUUCGUGGUGUAGCGGUGAAAUGCUUAGAUAUCACGAAGAACUCCGAUUGCGAAGGCAGCUUACUAAACUGCCACUGACAUUGAUGCUCGAAAGUGUGGGUAUCAAACAGGAUUAGAUACCCCUGUAGUC